AUGGUAAAAAUCAAACCCCAAACCAUCGUCUCCGGAGGCCACAUUCAGGAGCUUUUCUCCUUAUGGAUGCUUGUGAAUGACUUUCAACUUGAUGACUGUGCCGAGGAUGACAUCGUUUGGAAGCAUGCAGUGGACGGGAUAUACACGAUGGCAACUGCAUACAUGGCUCAAUUUCUUGGCUUGAUGCUCUCUCCCAUGGACUUCAUGGUUUGGAAAGCGUGGGCUCCUUCAAAGGUAAAAUUCUUCGCGUGGCUUGCUUUGCAAGAUCGGAUAUGGACCGCCGAUCGGCUGGAGGGGCGUGGAUGGGAUAAUUGUGGUCUAUGUCCUCUUUGCAAGAGACAGCAAGAAACG
This 351-nucleotide ribosomal RNA is filed under the name Triticum aestivum (bread wheat). RNAcentral's name for it is "partial small subunit ribosomal RNA". Lineage: Eukaryota; Viridiplantae; Streptophyta; Magnoliopsida; Poales; Poaceae. The record is from RNAcentral.